Molecule: transfer RNA, 67 nt
Filed under: Ranzania laevis (slender sunfish)
Lineage: Eukaryota; Metazoa; Chordata; Actinopteri; Tetraodontiformes; Molidae
Description: tRNA-Cys
Source: RNAcentral
AGCCCUGAGGUGUUGGACACGUCAGAUUGCAAAUCUGAAGGCGCAGACUAAUCGUCUGCCGGGGCUU